RNAcentral lists this ribosomal RNA (431 nucleotides) under uncultured bacterium. RNAcentral describes it as "bacterial SSU rRNA". It matches the Rfam family "Bacterial small subunit ribosomal RNA", at positions 355 to 776 of the family's 1533-position model. The record is from RNAcentral.
UGGGGAAUUUUGCGCAAUGGCCGAAAGGCUGACGCAGCGACGCCGCGUGUGGGAUGAAGCCUUUCGGGGUGUAAACCACUGUCAGGGGGGAAGAACUUCAUCGAUGUGAAUAGCAUCGGUGGUUGACGUUACCCUCAAAGGAAGCGCCGGCUAACUCCGUGCCAGCAGCCGCGGUAAUACGGGGGGCGCAAGCGUUGUUCGGAAUUACUGGGCGUAAAGGGCAGGUAGGUGGUUUUUUAAGUCGUCUGUGAAAAUCCGGGGCUCAACCCCGAGAAAUGCAGGCGAAACUGGCAGACUAGAGACCGGUAGAGGCUAGUGGAAUUCCUGGUGUAGCGGUGGAAUGCGUAGAUAUCAGGAAGAACACCGGUGGCGAAGGCGGCUAGCUGGGCCGGAUCUGACACUGAACUGCGAAAGCGUGGGGAGCAAACAGG